RNAcentral lists this ribosomal RNA (301 nucleotides) under uncultured bacterium. RNAcentral describes it as "partial 16S ribosomal RNA". It matches the Rfam family "Bacterial small subunit ribosomal RNA", at positions 509 to 807 of the family's 1533-position model. The record is from RNAcentral.
CAGUAGCCGCGGUAAUACGAAGGGGGCUAGCGUUGCUCGGAAUUACUGGGCGUAAAGGGCGCGUAGGCGGACAGUUCAGUCGGGGGUGAAAGCCCGGGGCUCAACCUCGGAAUUGCCUUCGAUACUGGCUGUCUUGAGUAUGAGAGAGGUGUGUGGAACUCCGAGUGUAGAGGUGAAAUUCGUAGAUAUUCGGAAGAACACCAGUGGCGAAGGCGACACACUGGCUCAUUACUGACGCUGAGGCGCGAAAGCGUGGGGAGCGAACAGGAUUAGAUACCCCCGUAGUCCCUGUCUCUUAUAC